This 250-nucleotide ribosomal RNA is filed under the name uncultured Chroococcidiopsis sp. RNAcentral's name for it is "partial 16S ribosomal RNA". It matches the Rfam family "Bacterial small subunit ribosomal RNA", at positions 796 to 1044 of the family's 1533-position model. The record is from RNAcentral. Lineage: Bacteria; Bacillati; Cyanobacteriota; Cyanophyceae; Chroococcidiopsidales; Chroococcidiopsidaceae.
CUAGCCGUAAACGAUGGAUACUAGGCGUUGUGAGUAUCGACCCUCACAGUGUCGUAGCUAACGCGUUAAGUAUCCCGCCUGGGGAGUACGCGCGCAAGCGUGAAACUCAAAGGAAUUGACGGGGGCCCGCGCAAGCGGUGGAGUAUGUGGUUUAAUUCGAUGCAACGCGAAGAACCUUACCAGGACUUGACAUGUCGCGAAUCUCAGGGAAACUUGAGAGUGCCUUCGGGAGCGCGAACACAGGUGGUGC